UACGUAGGUGGCAAGCGUUGUCCGGAUUUACUGGGCGUAAAGAGCGCGCAGGCGGUCGGCCAAGUCGAGUGUGAAAGCCCCCGGCUCAACUGGGGAGGGUCAUUCGAUACUGGUCGACUCGAAGGCAGGAGAGGGAAGCGGAAUUCCCGGUGUAGUGGUGAAAUGCGUAGAUAUCGGGAGGAACACCAGUCGGCGAAGGCGGACUUCCUGGCCUGUUCGUUGACGCUGAGGCG
RNAcentral lists this ribosomal RNA (233 nucleotides) under uncultured bacterium. RNAcentral's name for it is "partial 16S ribosomal RNA". It matches the Rfam family "Bacterial small subunit ribosomal RNA", at positions 524 to 753 of the family's 1533-position model. The record is from RNAcentral.